RNAcentral lists this ribosomal RNA (253 nucleotides) under uncultured bacterium. RNAcentral describes it as "partial 16S ribosomal RNA". It matches the Rfam family "Bacterial small subunit ribosomal RNA", at positions 524 to 776 of the family's 1533-position model. The record is from RNAcentral.
AACGUAGGAGCCAAGCGUUAUCCGAAUUCACUGGGCGUAAAGCGCGAGCAGGCGGCCUGGUAAGUUGGAUGUGAAAUCUCCUGGCUCAACUGGGAGAGGACGUACAAGACUGCCCGGCUAGAGGACGGUAGAGGGAGGUGGAAUUCCCGGUGUAGUGGUGAAAUGCGUAGAUAUCGGGAGGAACACCAGUGGCGAAGGCGGCCUCCUGGGCCGUUCCUGACGCUGAGAUGCGAAAGCUAGGGGAGCGAACGGG